UGAGAGUGACAGGCUGGCGAAAGUUGGUUUCUUUCGGGACACUCUUCAAGGUGCUGCAUGGUUGUCGUCAGCUCGGUGCCGUGAGGUGUCGGGUUAAGUCCCAUAACGAGCGCAACCCUUACUGUUAGUUGCCAGCGGGUAAUGCCGGGAACUCUAGCGGGACUGCCACCGUAAGGUGAGAGGAAGGUGGGGAUGACGUCAAAUCAGCACGGCCCUUAUGUCCAGGGCUACACACGUGUUACAAUGGCCGGUACAAAGGGCAGCUACACCGCGAGGUGAUGCUAAUCUCGAAAGCCGGUCUCAGUUCGGAUCGAAGUCUGCAACCCGACCUCGUGAAGUUGGAUUCGCUAGUAAUCGCGCAUCAGCCAUGGCGCGGUGAAUACGUUCCCGGGCCUU
RNAcentral lists this ribosomal RNA (396 nucleotides) under uncultured Sphingobacteriales bacterium. RNAcentral describes it as "bacterial SSU rRNA". It matches the Rfam family "Bacterial small subunit ribosomal RNA", at positions 986 to 1382 of the family's 1533-position model. The record is from RNAcentral. Lineage: Bacteria; Pseudomonadati; Bacteroidota; Sphingobacteriia; Sphingobacteriales.